RNAcentral lists this non-coding RNA (30 nucleotides) under Rattus norvegicus (Norway rat). Lineage: Eukaryota; Metazoa; Chordata; Mammalia; Rodentia; Muridae. The record is from RNAcentral.
UGAGUGUCUUGAUGGAGAUCUAUAACCAGU